RNAcentral lists this ribosomal RNA (253 nucleotides) under uncultured bacterium. RNAcentral describes it as "partial 16S ribosomal RNA". It matches the Rfam family "Bacterial small subunit ribosomal RNA", at positions 524 to 776 of the family's 1533-position model. The record is from RNAcentral.
UACAGAGGGUGCGAGCGUUGUCCGGAAUCACUGGGCGUAAAGGGCGCGUAGGCGGCCUGAUAAUUCGGGGGUGAAAUCCUGUGGCUUAACCACAGGGCUGCCUCCGAGACUGUCGGGCUCGAGCACAGUAGAGGCAGGUGGAAUUCCCGGUGUAGCGGUGGAAUGCGUAGAGAUCGGGAAGAACAUCGGUGGCGAAGGCGGCCUGCUGGGCUGUUGCUGACGCUGAGGCGCGACAGCGUGGGGAGCAAACAGG